This 443-nucleotide ribosomal RNA is filed under the name uncultured Clostridium sp. RNAcentral's name for it is "bacterial SSU rRNA". It matches the Rfam family "Bacterial small subunit ribosomal RNA", at positions 338 to 795 of the family's 1533-position model. The record is from RNAcentral. Lineage: Bacteria; Bacillati; Bacillota; Clostridia; Eubacteriales; Clostridiaceae.
CCUACGGGUGGCAGCAGUGGGGAAUAUUGCACAAUGGGCGAAAGCCUGAUGCAGCAACGCCGCGUGAAGGAAGAAGGGUUUCGGCUCGUAAACUUCUAUCGACAGGGAAGAAAGAAAUGACGGUACCUGAAUAAGAAGCCCCGGCUAACUACGUGCCAGCAGCCGCGGUAAUACGUAGGGGGCAAGCGUUAUCCGGAAUUACUGGGUGUAAAGGGUGAGUAGGCGGCAAGUUAAGUAAGAUGUGAAAGCCUGCGGCUUAACUGCAGGAUUGCAUUUUAAACUAAUUAGCUAGAGUACAGGAGAGGUAAGCGGAAUUCCUAGUGUAGCGGUGAAAUGCGUAGAUAUUAGGAAGAACACCGGUGGCGAAGGCGGCUUACUGGACUGAAACUGACGCUGAGGCACGAAAGCGUGGGGAGCGAACAGGAUUAGAUACCCGGGUAGUC